Molecule: ribosomal RNA, 486 nt
Filed under: uncultured bacterium
Lineage: Bacteria
Description: partial 16S ribosomal RNA
Rfam family: Bacterial small subunit ribosomal RNA
Source: RNAcentral
AUUGAACGCUGGCGGCAUGCCUUACACAUGCAAGUCGAACGGCAGCACGGGUGCUUGCACCUGGUGGCGAGUGGCGAACGGGUGAGUAAUACAUCGGAACAUGUCCUGUAGUGGGGGAUAGCCCGGCGAAAGCCGGAUUAAUACCGCAUACGAUCCACGGAUGAAAGCGGGGGACCUUCGGGCCUCGCGCUAUAGGGUUGGCCGAUGGCUGAUUAGCCAGUUGGUGGGGUAAAGGCCUACCAAGGCGACGAUCAGUAGCUGGUCUGAGAGGACGACCAGCCACACUGGGACUGAGACACGGCCCAGACUCCUACGGGAGGCAGCAGUGGGGAAUUUUGGACAAUGGGCGAAAGCCUGAUCCAGCAAUGCCGCGUGUGUGAAGAAGGCCUUCGGGUUGUAAAGCACUUUUGUCCGGAAAGAAAUCCUUGACUCUAAUACAGUCGGGGGAUGACGGUACCGGAAGAAUAAGCACCGGCUAACUACGUG